GAUGAACGCUGGCGGCGUGCCUAAUACAUGCAAGUCGAGCGAACAGACGAGGAGCUUGCUCCUCUGACGUUAGCGGCGGACGGGUGAGUAACACGUGGAUAACCUACCUAUAAGACUGGGAUAACUUCGGGAAACCGGAGCUAGUACCGGAUAAUAUAUUGAACCGCAUGGUUCAAUAGUGAAAGACGGUUUUGCUGUCACUUAUAGAUGGAUCCGCGCCGCAUUAGCUAGUUGGUAAGGUAACGGCUUACCAAGGCAACGAUGCGUAGCCGACCUGAGAGGGUGAUCGGCCACACUGGAACUGAGACACGGUCCAGACUCCUACGGGAGGCAGCAGUAGGGAAUCUUCCGCAAUGGGCGAAAGCCUGACGGAGCAACGCCGCGUGAGUGAUGAAGGUCUUCGGAUCGUAAAACUCUGUUAUUAGGGAAGAACAAAUGUGUAAGUAACUAUGCACGUCUUGACGGUACCUAAUCAGAAAGCCACGGCUAACUACGCG
Molecule: ribosomal RNA, 497 nt
Filed under: uncultured bacterium
Lineage: Bacteria
Description: partial 16S ribosomal RNA
Rfam family: Bacterial small subunit ribosomal RNA
Source: RNAcentral